UCCCUGGUGGUCCAGUGGCUAAGACUCUGCACUCCCGAUCCAGGAGGUACAGGUUCAGGCCCUGGCCAGGGAA
Molecule: transfer RNA, 73 nt
Organism: Ovis aries (sheep)
Lineage: Eukaryota; Metazoa; Chordata; Mammalia; Artiodactyla; Bovidae
Rfam family: tRNA
About the family: Transfer RNA (tRNA) molecules are approximately 80 nucleotides in length. Their secondary structure includes four short double-helical elements and three loops (D, anti-codon, and T loops).
Source: Rfam